Molecule: ribosomal RNA, 463 nt
Filed under: uncultured bacterium
Lineage: Bacteria
Description: bacterial SSU rRNA
Rfam family: Bacterial small subunit ribosomal RNA
Source: RNAcentral
GCAUGGCUGUCGUCAGCUCGUGUCGUGAGAUGUUGGGUUAAGUCCCGCAACGAGCGCAACCCUUGUCCUGUGUUGCUAAGCUGAAAGGCUGCACUCUCAGGAGACCGCCAGCGAUAAGCUGGAGGAAGGUGGGGAUGACGUCAAGUCAUCAUGGCCUUUAUGUCCAGGGCUACACACGUGCUACAAUGGACGGUACAAACCGCAGCAAACCCGCGGGGGGGAGCAAAUCGGAAAAAACCGUUCUCAGUUCGGAUUGCAGGCUGCAACUCGCCUGCAUGAAGCUGGAAUCGCUAGUAAUGGCGUAUCAGAACGACGCCGUGAAUACGUUCCUGGGCCUUGUACACACCGCCCGUCACAUCACGAAAGUGGGUUGUACUAGAAGUCUGCGGCCUAACCCGCAAGGGGAGGAGCGGCCCAAGGUAUGACUCAUGAUUGGGGUGAAGUCGUAACAAGGUAACCGUAA